Molecule: long non-coding RNA, 128 nt
Organism: Dinoponera quadriceps
Lineage: Eukaryota; Metazoa; Arthropoda; Insecta; Hymenoptera; Formicidae
Exons: 2
Source: RefSeq, a predicted model, not a curated record
CACUGUUCUCUGCAUUAUUCUCAGAUAGUUACGAUAGAAGAACUUAUAUCACAGGUUCCACCACAUGACACGACAGUUCUUGAGAAAGCUAUUGAGCAACAUAUGUGUUUUGAAAGACCAAACGUCAA